CGGAAUCUGCCUAUUUGUGGGGGAUAACGUAGGGAAACUUACGCUAAUACCGCAUACGACCUACGGGUGAAAGCGGAGGACCUUCGGGCUUCGCGCAGAUAGAUGAGCCGAUGUCGGAUUAGCUAGUUGGCGGGGUAAAGGCCCACCAAGGCGACGAUCCGUAGCUGGUCUGAGAGGAUGAUCAGCCACACUGGAACUGAGACACGGUCCAGACUCCUACGGGAGGCAGCAGUGGGGAAUAUUGGACAAUGGGCGCAAGCCUGAUCCAGCCACGCCGCGUGGGUGAAGAAGGCCUUCGGGUUGUAAAGCCCUUUUGUUGGGAAAGAAAAGCAGUCGGUUAAUACCCGAUUGUUCUGACGGUACCCAAAGAAUAAGCACCGGCUAACUUCGUGCCAGCAGCCGCGGUAAUACGAAGGGUGCAAGCGUUACUCGGAAUUACUGGGCGUAAAGCGUGCGUAGGUGGUUUGUUAAGUCUGAUGUGAAAGCCCUGGGCUCAACCUGGGAAUUGCAUUGGAUACUGGCAGGCUAGAGUGCGGUAGAGGGUAGUGGAAUUCCCGGU
RNAcentral lists this ribosomal RNA (559 nucleotides) under uncultured bacterium. Its description in RNAcentral is "bacterial SSU rRNA". It matches the Rfam family "Bacterial small subunit ribosomal RNA", at positions 119 to 674 of the family's 1533-position model. The record is from RNAcentral.